This is a long non-coding RNA of Anopheles merus, 2563 nucleotides long. RefSeq lists it as uncharacterized. The transcript has 26 exons. Lineage: Eukaryota; Metazoa; Arthropoda; Insecta; Diptera; Culicidae. The record is from RefSeq and is a predicted model, not a curated record.
UUCGUACUCACAUGUUUUUUAUUUCUAAAUCAAGAAAUACCAAUGCUCGGCCAGCAUCACGAUAAGAUCGAAUUUUUGGAACCAAGUUGCUUUUUGCGAAACAAGAGACCAUAAACCGAUGCCGCAGUGGCGCAACAUAAAACACCGUGAAGAUGGCAAACAACAAGCAACUAAAAGACUGCAUGCUGUGCCGCGACGAAAUGGUUGAAUCCACAGAUAAAGCGAUCUUUGCGUUUGGACAAGAGGCCACGCAAUAUGUUCCGGGUAAACCGGAUCGAGCUCUAUUAGAUUCAGGAUGAUUAUGAUGUCUCAUAACAUAAUGAAUGAAGGAUUGGCAAUCUGAUUCCUGAUGUCGUUUUACUAGCUUCAUGAAAUGCAUCAAUAUGUUUUCAUCGAAAGAUUGGCAAACUGAUUCCUGAUGUCGUUUUUCAAGCUUCAUGAAAUGCAUCAAUAUGUUUUAAUCGAAGGAUUGACAAUCUGAUUCCUGAUGUCGUUUUACUAGCUUCAUGAAAUGCAUCAAUAUGUUUUCAUCGAAAGAUUGGCAAACUGAUUCCUGAUGUCGUUUUUCAAGCUUCAUGAAAUGCAUCAAUAUGUUUUAAUCGAAGGAUUGGCAAACUGAUUCCUGAUGUCGUUUUACAAGCUUCAUGAAAUGCAUCAAUAUGUUUUAAUCGAAGGAUUGGCAAACUGAUUCCUGAUGUCGUUUUUCAAGCUUCAUGAAAUGCAUCAAUAUGUUUUAAUCGAAGGAUUGACAAUCUGAUUCCUGAUGUCGUUUUACUAGCUUCAUGAAAUGCAUCAAUAUGUUUUCAUCGAAAGAUUGGCAAACUGAUUCCUGAUGUCGUUUUUCAAGCUUCAUGAAAUGCAUCAAUAUGUUUUAAUCGAAGGAUUGGCAAACUGAUUCCUGAUGUCGUUUUUCAAGCUUCAUGAAAUGCAUCAAUAUGUUUUAAUCGAAGGAUUGACAAUCUGAUUCCUGAUGUCGUUUUACUAGCUUCAUGAAAUGCAUCAAUAUGUUUUCAUCGAAAGAUUGGCAAACUGAUUCCUGAUGUCGUUUUUCAAGCUUCAUGAAAUGCAUCAAUAUGUUUUAAUCGAAGGAUUGACAAUCUGAUUCCUGAUGUCGUUUUACUAGCUUCAUGAAAUGCAUCAAUAUGUUUUCAUCGAAAGAUUGGCAAACUGAUUCCUGAUGUCGUUUUUCAAGCUUCAUGAAAUGCAUCAAUAUGUUUUAAUCGAAGGAUUGGCAAACUGAUUCCUGAUGUCGUUUUACAAGCUUCAUGAAAUGCAUCAAUAUGUUUUAAUCGAAGGAUUAUCAAUCUGAUUCCUGAUGUCGUUUUACAAGCUUCAUAAAAUGCAUCAAUAUGUUUUCAUCGAAGGAUUGGCAAACUGAUUCCUGAUGUCGUUUUACAAGCUUCAUGAAAUGCAUCAAUAUGUUUUAAUCGAAGGAUUAUCAAUCUGAUUCCUGAUGUCGUUUUACAAGCUUCAUGAAAUGCAUCAAUAUGUUUUCAUCGAAGGAUUGGCAAACUGAUUCCUGAUGUCGUUUUACAAGCUUCAUGAAAUGCAUCAAUAUGUUUUAAUCGAAGGAUUAUCAAUCUGAUUCCUGAUGUCGUUUUACAAGCUUCAUGAAAUGCAUCAAUAUGUUUUCAUCGAAGGAUUGGCAAUCUGAUUCCUGAUGUCGUUUUACAAGCUUCAUGAAAUGCAUCAAUAUGUUUUCAUCGAAGGAUUGACAAUCUGAUUCCUGAUGUCGUUUUACAAGCUUCAUGAAAUGCAUCAAUAUGUUUUAAUCGAAGGAUUAUCAAUCUGAUUCCUGAUGUCGUUUUACAAGCUUCAUGAAAUGCAUCAAUAUGUUUUAAUCGAAGAUCUUCUGUGGGUCAUUGGAAUCGGGAAGACCAUCCUGUGGAUCGUCAUAGCCACAGUUGUUACAGCAUUGUGGACCGGUUCUCAGCGAUACACCUGACAAUUCUAAAGGCAUCACCAUCGAAUCAUGCUACAGCCUUUCACUAAUACUGUCUUAUCAAACAGCUUAAAGCCAGAUCUGAAAUACCACCCGCGUUCAAGUAUUUAAUUUCAUUUAGUUUAUUUAAUUUAAUUCGACGCAUCAAUAGGCUCCCUUGAAAACAACACAUGUAGACAGGCUUAGGAAGCAAUUGCGGGACAUACCGUGUUCUUAAAGAUAGCAAACGUAGUUAAACUAAUUAUACCAUAAGGUAGAACGGUUCUAAACGGGCAAAACGUGUGCGACGCUCUUUGAUGGCGAUUAGAUCGCGGGGACAAAGUCUUCUGGUUGGAGCGUAUAAAUUGAUUUAGGAUAGAAGAAAGGGAGAACCAAUACGUUACUUUAGCACAGGGGUAUCCAAACUUUCGCGGGUCGCAUUGCUUCGCAAAUAGCUAUGUUGAGGGUGAUUUGACGUUACCUUUUGCUUAUGAGCAAAUUUUAAAAUCUCGUUUUUAUACCAAAAUACUAACGAAACUUGUGCAGCUUUGCUCUAUUCAAUUGACAAUUGGCUAAUCUAGCUGUAUGGUAAACAUGAAUAAUUACCAAUGAAAAAAUAAAUGAAUAAAUAAAUGAAUUAAA